Molecule: non-coding RNA, 29 nt
Filed under: Mus musculus (house mouse)
Lineage: Eukaryota; Metazoa; Chordata; Mammalia; Rodentia; Muridae
Source: RNAcentral
UGAACAAGAUCUUUAGACUGUGACAGACA